UUUUAAUGGCCGCGGUAUAUUGACUGUGCAAAGGUAGCAUAAUCAUUAGUUUUUUAAUUGAAAGCUGGAAUGAAAGGUUGGAUGAAAAAAUAACUGUCUCUAUCUAAAUUAAUUAGAAUUUUAUUUUUAAGUAAAAAAGCUUAAAUAAUAAUAAAAGACGAGAAGACCCUAUAGAGUUUUAUAUUUUUUUAGGAAUAUAAUUUUUAGUAUUUUUAAUUUAAAUUUUUAAAAAGUAUUUAAUUGGGGUGAUUAAAAAAUUAGCAAAACUUUUUUUGUAUUUUUACAUUUAUUUAUGAAAAUAUGAUCCUUUAAUUGAGAUUAUAAGAAAAAAUUACCUUAGGGAUAACAGCGUAAUUUUUUUUAAGAGUUCUAAUCGAAAAAAGAGAUUGCGACCUCGAUGUUGGAUUAAA
RNAcentral lists this ribosomal RNA (410 nucleotides) under Conotrachelus sp. SPN-024. Its description in RNAcentral is "partial 16S ribosomal RNA". Lineage: Eukaryota; Metazoa; Arthropoda; Insecta; Coleoptera; Curculionidae. The record is from RNAcentral.